RNAcentral lists this ribosomal RNA (857 nucleotides) under uncultured bacterium. RNAcentral describes it as "bacterial SSU rRNA". It matches the Rfam family "Bacterial small subunit ribosomal RNA", at positions 627 to 1498 of the family's 1533-position model. The record is from RNAcentral.
UUGAUACUAUGUGUCUGAAUAUCUGGAGGUAAGCGGAAUAUGUCAGAUAGCGGUGAAAGGGGAGAUCACCCAUGGCACAGCCAUCUCGAAGGCAGCUUACUGACAUCUAUCGACGCUGAGGCAGGAAAGCGCGCGGAUCAAACAGGAUUAGAUACACUGGUAGUCCACGCCGUAACCGAUGGAUACUGGACAUAUCUGAUACUCUGUGCGUGUCUGAGCGAAAGCAUUAAGUAUCCCACCUCGUAAGUAAGUUAAAUAGUCCAAACUCAAAGGAAUUGGCCGGGGUCCGCGCAAGCGGAGGAGUAUGUGGUUUAAAUAACCGAUACGCGAGGAACCUUACCCAGGCUAGAAUGAAGGGAGACCGUGGGUGAAAGCUCCCCAAGUAGCAAGACAGUACCUGUAAGGUGCUUCUUGGCAGUUGUCAGCUCGAGCUGUGAGGUGAUGGGUGAAGUCCAGCACCGAGCGCAACCCUUAUCAUUAGUUGCCAACAGGGUAAGCUGGGAACUCUAAUGAAACUGCCCCCGUAAGGUGUGAGGAAGGAGGGGAUGAUGUCAAGUCAUCACGUCCUUUAUGCCCAGGGCUACACACGUGCUGCAAUGGGGGAGACAAAGGGCUGCAACAUAGGGAUAUGAAGCCAAUCCCAAAAACUCCCUCUCAGUUCUGAUUGCAGGGUGCAACUGGCGUGCGAGAAGCUGGAUUCGGUAGUUAUCGUAUAUCAGCAAUGAUACGGUGAAGUCGUUCCCGCACCUUGCCCACACCGCCCGUCAAGCCAUCGGAGUCGGGAGUACCUAAAGUCCCCACCCGGAAGGAGCUUCCUAGGGUAAAAUGGAUGAGUGGGGCUAAGUCGUAACAAGGUA